GUACAAACACAAAAGACACGCCGAGGGGCCGCGGGGCCCGCCGAGGUGCCGUCUGCCCUAGUCCGUCCCCGGGCCGCAGCCCCUCCCCGCCGGGCGCAGGCGUCACGGGUCUCACUAUGAAGCUCAGACUGGGUUUGAACUCAUGAUCCUCUGCCUCACUCUCUGGCAUAGGCCAUGACAACCCAGCUCUGGUGAGCCUUUUGAAUCUCAUAACCUAUAGUUUCUCCCUGUGUUCAUACU
This 240-nucleotide long non-coding RNA is filed under the name Mus pahari (shrew mouse). Its description in RNAcentral is "lncRNA (MGP_PahariEiJ_G0003703.1)". The record is from RNAcentral. Lineage: Eukaryota; Metazoa; Chordata; Mammalia; Rodentia; Muridae.